UGCAUGAAGUCCAGUACACCACUUAAUUCUAUAACAUUAAUCACAGACAAUACAGGGACACUGUUGCUAACUUUAUUCUUCUGAGUCCUUACUGUAAAAUGCUACAGCAGUGAAUGCAAAGAAAUAUCAUAGUUCUGAAAUAAUGAUGGAACUGAAGAAGGUCACGUGAUGCAAACACUUGUGAAAUUAGUAGAAUUAUGUAUUUCUUGCCAAGGCUUAUCUUCUGAGACUGUGGUUGUUUACAGGAGCUCUAGUACAGAAGCCAUGAAGAAAGAUGAUAUGAGGAGGCUGAUUCUGCAAUCUUAUUCAGAUGAAUCAGGACUGAGCAGUGAAUGCAUUCAUUUUCAUGAGGGAGAAGCAAAAGCAGAUAAAGUAGAAGAGAUGAAGUAAGUAUGUCAGAAGAGCACCUUUAUACUGUUGACUACUAAAUGGCAGAUUUGAUGAGAGCAGGCAAAAAUAUUCAGAAUUCAAUAGAUGUCAAGCAAUGAAAAUGCCUCAAGCACUUUCAAUAUCACCAUGUUUUAUAGAUGAAUGAAAGAAACUGAGCUUCAGUGUGCACAGGUAUUCUACAAGUGAGGUUAAAAUGCUGGAGUUGCUACCUGUGAGGGGUACAGGGCAUAGUUUUGUCUCCCCUCCACGUAGCACCGUUGCUGCAAUUGUCAAAUAUGGGGUUAUUUUAGAUGUUCCAGAAAGUUAAACUCAAAACUCUCUUCGUCAUUAUGGCCGAGAAAAUACCAUUAUCCAGUAGAUGAUAACAAAUAUUAUGGAACAAUUUCAAGCUUGGAGCUGUGUGGGGAAUGCUGCACAAGAAGCUGCGCCAGUAGACCUGAACAAGAGCACGAACAUUCUGACCCUCAUCAGCUGCAAACCAUGGCAGUCAAGAGGAGUCAAAGUUAGAACACUGAGAUAAUCUCUGAGAACUGUAGAUGUUGAAACAAAGAAGUCACUGAAGACAAAGAUGUAAUGUACCUCGGACUUUCCCAGGAGCUAAUGAAAGUCUCCAGUGUGGACUAAGGGGACAAAAGAAGUGUGUUCAAGGAAAAUGGAAAGUAAUAAUAUGGCAGAAAGUGUUAACAGAGAAAUGUGCUUAUACAUCUGAGAACAAAUAAGUUGUUCAAGCAAAGGCACGUGAACAAUAAUGUGAUCAGUUGAGAAAAGCGUAUGAUGUUGCAAAAAGUACUAAAAAGAAACUAACAUAUUAACAUUUACUAACCGCUAGGCAGGGGUCUAUAAAAAGUCUAUACUCUUGCUCAAUAAACGAUUUCGGUUGCAUCACAACUGGAGUCCGUGUUUCAGUUGCCACAGAGCUGCAGUAGGGAAGCAGAAAUGAGAUAUUUUUAGCACUUGAGGAUGUCAGUUUGGUGCCAUCUUUCUCCCUGGUAAGUUUACAUUGGAGGAAGGAUGGUGUUUAAGGGCUAGACAUGGAAAAAUGCCUGUUUCUUUGUAGCAUUUUGUGUUGAAAAUGAGACUACACAAGGUAGAAAUUUAACUUGCAUGUUUCCUGACUGACCUGCCUCUGGUCCUGCUAAAUGUUAUAGGAUUUAUUUGGCUUUUAAUCUCUUCAAACACCAAACCCCUGUCAGAAGACUAACAGUGGAAGACUUUAGUAUACUGUAACAUUCUGGAUUUUGAGCCUUUUUUUUUGUUGGUUUGGUUUGGUUUUCUGUGGCUGUUUUCUGUUUGUACGUGUUCACUGUCUUAGAGUAAAAGCCUGCAUCUUAAUCCUUUUCCCAAAAGACUAGGCAUUUAAAGAUGUAAUUUUUGUCAAAUUUGCAUGUUUAAAUUGUAAUUCUGUAAAUGCUUUCCAGUGUUUCCUGGUGGCAUUUGGAGUCUGGUUUUGUUUGUAUAAUUGGAAGUUCCCUGGUACAAUUAAAACUUCUUCAGUUUUGACCACUUGAGAGCUACAAAAUGGAAUUGUUAUUCUUUUGUGUAAGUAUGUGGUGAGUAGGCUUUAAAGGCCUAUGUAAGUUAUUUUUGUAUUCCCAUCAAUAGAGCAUCUGUGUAAGAGGAGUAUCUUGAGUGUUUGUUCUGGCUUCCAGUAAAGUUUUUAUGACUAAGAACAAAUGUAACAAUUGUAAGAAUUGUUAAUGAGACACUGAAUUGCACUCUCACGUGAUCCUUCUGCUUGGCCUGAGAAGUCUUGAAUUACUUUCCUUACAGUAGUGCAGCCUCAGCUGAAUGUUGUAGUAUAGUUUCCAGCUUUCUUGUUAAUGCAUUCUCUGGGAAAAUGGAGGAUGUGAGUAUGAGCUCCCUCAUUCUCAGGAGAAAAUCAGAGCUGAGCUUUUUGUUUCAUAGGUGAUAGUGAGGCUCUUCCAUGAACACUAGAAACUUUCAUUAAGUUGUGUUCUGCAGGAGUAGAACAGAUGCCAAUCAGCUCUGAAAGAAAUGUGCAUUUCUUGGGGGAGUGAGAUGUAGGCUGUGGAUCUCUAGAGAAUGAAAUACUUUCCAUGAAACCUGAAGAAGAUAUUUAGAGACAUACUGUUGUCUAUAAAAAAAGCUUUGUCUAUACUAGCUUUUAGCAAUGCUACUCUUUUCCUGGCGACUUAAGUCUGUUUUAUCCCUUCCUGAGCCCUGUGUAGGGCAUGUGGCAACUUCUCUGAAGGUCAUGGUCUCUGAUUUGAGGGCAAUGGUAAAUAUACCUAUUACUGCAUCUGUAUGUGAGCUUUUUAUCGUAUUUAUCACUUUAUUCUACUUACACUUUAAUUAUGCUUACCUAAUGUGGAAUCUUCUGCAGCUACUGUUGAACUGCUUUUUUUUUUUGCCAUGUUGUGAUUUUCAGAUGCUCUUUCUCACAGGCUGAUGUGUUGAAAUUGUGAGAUUAACAGUAAGGAUUGUUUUAAAGAAACCCAAACCCAACCCACCCCCAAGCCCUACAGAUUCCUGUGAUCCACUUACUAAAGAUAUGCCUAAUUUGUACUGAAAAUAGAAAAAAAAAAAACAAAAAAACCAAAAAAACCCCACCAACCUCUAUUAAUCUGGAAUUGCUAGCCCUUUGGUGUCAAGGACAUUUAAAUGAAGAUUUCAUAAGUUAAUCAUGAAAUUGAAAGUGGUAUUAAUAGCACUGUACUGCUAUUCACUGUAUAGGAAUUCUGUGAUAUGUAGCAGUGUUAUAGCUCCGCAAAUACUGGUACAGAAUUAGAACUUUUUCUGAGUGUAUGAGUAUCCAUUUAUUUAUUUUUAUUUCAGGUUAUACUGUAUCCUAUGUUUAGAAGAAUUGCAAAUGAAAAAGUUUGAUUUUUUUUUUUUUUUUUUUUUUUUCUGUUUUCUGCCUUUACUGAACAGGUAAAUAGAAGACCUAGUCAGCUACUUGUAUUGUUACUAGUAUCAGGACAUGUACUGCUGUACUGUCUGGCAUGAUGGCAAAUACAUGUUUGUCUAAGGAACAGCUCUACUUCCAAAUAAAUAAAAAAGUGUUCUGCACAUUGCAGCCUCAUAACUGGCCCUGCUGAAGAUUAAGGGUAUCAGGAUAUAUCAGUUAUAAUGAAGAUACAGGUUCUGUGUAAGUGAGAAUUUAGGUCCUCAUAGGAUUUAGGCUACAUGUCCUUCUUCUCUGCUCACUACUUGUACUCCAAAGUAUUAUAUUAGGAUUUUAUUUUUUUUAGAAAGGUUCUGCACCCAGAUUUGUCCAGUGAACUUCUCAGACUUCAAAGAUAACUUUACUCUCAGAAAUAUGACAGAACAAUGUAGCUACUUGGAGGAAUUCUGCUGACAGUUACUGUGAAGAAUCUAUUAAGCUGACUCUUAAACUUGCGUUGCUUUUUUGUUAGCUACCUAAAGGUAUGAGUAAUUACUUCAACAUUCUUGUUGUAGAGAACUGUAUGAACCAGUUUACAAAGCUUGUGAAAGUAUGACUUGAGUUCUUUUGUUAUUUCAAUCAGUGCAUGAUUUUGAAUAGAACUACUAAAAACAGAGCUCUGUUUGACAUGUGUAUUUCGGGGGGUAGUUAAGAAAAGUUACUGUAGCCAGAAGCAUAUUUUAUAAAUAUGAAAAGAUAGAGGGAUGAAGAUUGCUGGACACAUUAACAAAUUUAUGUAUACAAAAAUCAUUAUGUAACAUACAGAAAAGUAACAUUUCCAUUAGAAUAUUUUUUAAUGAUAAAACAUGAAACUCACAGGAUUUUGAAACUGUUCAUAUGAAUAUUGAAAAACAACAGCAAAAAAAAUAAUCUAUAUUGGAAGGAAUUCUAAAUCUUUUAAUGAAAAGUUAAGAGUAGUGCAGCAAUGAGGAAAAGCCUGCACUAAUACUGAAAUUGCUGAAAUGUCUUCAGUCACUUUAGGAAGCCAAAAAUAGAACACUUCAUCUUUGGAAACUCAAGUUUUGGAUUUUAAUAACAGUUUUCCUCUGAAGAUUUUCCAUUUAGUUGUUACAGGGAUGAACAGGUCUUUUAAUUUCCACUGAAUUCAGUUCUGUUUGAAAAGUUUCCAUGCAGAACUACAUUUUGGUACACUGACCAAGAAAAAAAGAAUCUGGUAGUGUCUGGGGGGUGGUAUCUUAUUUUUAUAAUAAUUUAUAAGUUUUGAAUUCUGCUCUCCCAGUGUCUUAACUCAUACAAACUGUAUUUUGUUGCCCUCAUUUUUCCCACUCUGUCUCAAGGGCAUGAUUUUCUUUUUUUUUUUUCUUU
Pezoporus flaviventris is the source of this 4621-nucleotide long non-coding RNA. RefSeq lists it as uncharacterized. NCBI's taxonomy places the organism in Eukaryota, Metazoa, Chordata, Aves, Psittaciformes, Psittacidae. The transcript is spliced from 4 exons. The record is from RefSeq and is a predicted model, not a curated record.